UACGUAGGGUGCAAGCGUUGUCCGGAAUUAUUGGGCGUAAAGAGCUCGUAGGCGGUUCGUCGCGUCGGCUGUGAAAACCUGAGGCUCAACCUCAGGCCUGCAGUCGAUACGGGCGGACUUGAGUACUGCAGGGGAGACUGGAAUUCCUGGUGUAGCGGUGGAAUGCGCAGAUAUCAGGAGGAACACCGGUGGCGAAGGCGGGUCUCUGGGCAGUAACUGACGCUGGAGGAGCGAAAGCGUGGGGAGCGAACAGG
This 254-nucleotide ribosomal RNA is filed under the name uncultured bacterium. RNAcentral's name for it is "partial 16S ribosomal RNA". It matches the Rfam family "Bacterial small subunit ribosomal RNA", at positions 524 to 776 of the family's 1533-position model. The record is from RNAcentral.